RNAcentral lists this non-coding RNA (86 nucleotides) under Domibacillus aminovorans. RNAcentral's name for it is "Bacillus aminovorans c-di-GMP sequence". It matches the Rfam family "c-di-GMP-I riboswitch aptamer". Rfam says of the family: GEMM was predicted in a large-scale screen for bacterial structured RNA regulatory elements. Genes associated with GEMM are involved in a diverse array of functions, including chemotaxis regulation, signal transduction, secretion and chitin. Lineage: Bacteria; Bacillati; Bacillota; Bacilli; Caryophanales; Bacillaceae. The record is from RNAcentral.
UGUACGAACGGGCAAAAUCAUUGAAAAGUGAUGACGCAAAACUAGAGGGGCUAAGGUCUUAAAGACUAUGUCAGCCAGUUACCGAA